UACCCCACUAUGCUUAGUCAUAAACACGACACCACUUAACAACAGUGUCCGCCAGAGAAUUACGAGCGAAAAGCUUAAAACUCAAAGGACUUGGCGGUGCUCCAUACCAACUUAGAGGAGCCUGUCCUAUAACCGAUACUCCACGCUAAACCUUACCAUCUUUUGCCCCCAGCCUAUAUACCGCCGUCGCAAAUUCACCCCACAAGGGCCCAACAGUAAGUACAACUGCCUCCCCAAAAACGUCAGGUCAAGGUGUAGCUAAUAAGAUGGCAGAGAUGGGCUACAUUUUUUAAAAUAAAACACCACGGCAUGGGACUAUGAAACAACCCCUAAAGGCGGAUUUAACAGUAAAAAAGGCAAGAAAGCCUUCCUUAAACUCGCUCUGGAGCGCGCACACACCG
Molecule: ribosomal RNA, 401 nt
Filed under: Polychrus femoralis
Lineage: Eukaryota; Metazoa; Chordata; Lepidosauria; Squamata; Polychrotidae
Description: partial 12S ribosomal RNA
Rfam family: Bacterial small subunit ribosomal RNA
Source: RNAcentral